RNAcentral lists this ribosomal RNA (676 nucleotides) under Streptomyces sp. RNAcentral's name for it is "bacterial SSU rRNA". It matches the Rfam family "Bacterial small subunit ribosomal RNA", at positions 121 to 811 of the family's 1533-position model. The record is from RNAcentral. Lineage: Bacteria; Bacillati; Actinomycetota; Actinomycetes; Kitasatosporales; Streptomycetaceae.
GCAAUCUGCCCUUCACUCUGGGACAAGCCCUGGAAACGGGGUCUAAUACCGGAUACCACUCCUGCCUGCAUGGGCGGGGGUUGAAAGCUCCGGCGGUGAAGGAUGAGCCCGCGGCCUAUCAGCUUGUUGGUGGGGUAAUGGCCCACCAAGGCGACGACGGGUAGCCGGCCUGAGAGGGCGACCGGCCACACUGGGACUGAGACACGGCCCAGACUCCUACGGGAGGCAGCAGUGGGGAAUAUUGCACAAUGGGCGAAAGCCUGAUGCAGCGACGCCGCGUGAGGGAUGACGGCCUUCGGGUUGUAAACCUCUUUCAGCAGGGAAGAAGCGAAAGUGACGGUACCUGCAGAAGAAGCGCCGGCUAACUACGUGCCAGCAGCCGCGGUAAUACGUAGGGCGCAAGCGUUGUCCGGAAUUAUUGGGCGUAAAGAGCUCGUAGGCGGCUUGUCACGUCGGAUGUGAAAGCCCGAGGCUUAACCUCGGGUCUGCAUUCGAUACGGGCUAGCUAGAGUGUGGUAGGGGAGAUCGGAAUUCCUGGUGUAGCGGUGAAAUGCGCAGAUAUCAGGAGGAACACCGGUGGCGAAGGCGGAUCUCUGGGCCAUUACUGACGCUGAGGAGCGAAAGCGUGGGGAGCGAACAGGAUUAGAUACCCUGGUAGUCCACGCCGUAAACGUUG